RNAcentral lists this ribosomal RNA (466 nucleotides) under uncultured bacterium. RNAcentral describes it as "partial 16S ribosomal RNA". It matches the Rfam family "Bacterial small subunit ribosomal RNA", at positions 28 to 507 of the family's 1533-position model. The record is from RNAcentral.
GACGAACGCUGGCGGCGCGCCUAACACAUGCAAGUCGAACGAGCGAGAGAGAGCUUGCUUUCUUGAGCGAGUGGCGAACGGGCGAGUAACGCGUGAGGAACCUGCCUCUAAGAGGGGGACAACAGUUGGAAACGACUGCUAAUACCGCAUAAGCCCACGACCCGGCAUCGGGUUGAGGGAAAAGGAGCAAUCCGCUUUGAGAUGGCCUCGCGUCCGAUUAGCUUGUUGGUGAGGUAACGGCCCACCAAGGCGAGGAUCGGUAGCCGGACUGAGAGGUUGAACGGCCACAUUGGGACUGAGACACAGCCCAGACUCCUACGGGAGGCAGCAGUGGGGAAUAUUGCACAAUGGGGGAAACCCUGAUGCAGCGACGCCGGGUGGAGGAAGAAGGUCGUCGGAUUGUAAACUCCUGUUGUUGAGGAAGAUAAUGACGGUACUCAACAAGGAAGUGACGGCUAACUACGUG